RNAcentral lists this long non-coding RNA (1461 nucleotides) under Canis lupus familiaris (dog). Its description in RNAcentral is "lncRNA (ENSCAFG00845002806.1)". Lineage: Eukaryota; Metazoa; Chordata; Mammalia; Carnivora; Canidae. The record is from RNAcentral.
GCAGGAAGUAACAUCCACUGAGCACUUACUAUGUGCCAAGCAUUGUCUAAGUGUUUUAUAUGUUACCUAAUUCAAUCCUCAUCACAAUUCUGUGAUGGUAGGUACAAUUAUUGCCCCUAUUCCUAGUCCCUUUCUUCAGGAAAGAAGGAAAGAGGGAGAGAGGGGAGCCCCUCAGGUGCACAGUAAAUGAUGCAGUAAAGUACAAAGGUGUUCAGAACCCCCAGCCCCUGGCUUCAUCUGCUUAUCACUCUCCCAGACCACCAGAGGGACCCCCCUUCUCCUCCCACCAGUCCCUUGAGCUCCUCAGCGGCAGUUCCAUGAGUCCCAAAGGGGACACAGGGAAGCAUGGUUCCUGCACGGAAGGGGGCUCUGGUCCCCUUCCCAUACAGACGGGAAGACUGUAUGGAUAAUAUGAGACAGAGUGAGACACCAGAGGUACCAUGAUCACGAGAGCUCAUCUUUAUUGGCUGCUGAUCUCCUUGCCAGCAUGUGUGGUCUUCACAGCAAUCAUAGACCCUGUGAGUCCUUUUACUUAUUUACUUUUUAAAGACUUUAUUUAUUCGUGAGAGACACAGAGAGGUAAAGACAUAGACAGAGGGAGAAGCUGCAGAGCUCUGCUAUAGGACUCAAUCCUAGGACCCCGGCCGGGAUCACAACCUGAGCCAAAGGCAGACGCUCAACCACUGAACCACCCAGGGGCCCUGUGAGUCCUUUUAUUUUUUAUUUUUUUUUAAGAUUGUAUUUAUUUAUUCAUGAGAGACAGAGAGAGAGAGAGGCAGAGACACAGGGAGAGGGAGAAGCAGGCCCCAUGCAGGGAGCCUAACAUGGGACUCCAUCCCGGGUCCCCAGGAUCACGCCCUGGGCUGAAGGCAGCAGCGUUAAACCGCUAGGCCACAAGAAAACCAAGGCCCACAGUGUUAAGUUAACUUACUCGAUGUUACAGAAUUGAUGAGUAGUGGAGCAGGGAUUCCGACCCAGGCAGGCUGGCUCCAGAGAUUGAGCUCUUAAUUACAUUGUACUGCCUCUAAAUGAAAUGGGGGAACUCAAAGAAAGUUUCUUGUGUUCUGCUUUAGUUUCUAAAUAAGGGAAAACCUUGGGGAGAUGCGAGCUAUGUAGCAGUCACAAAAAGCUUCAUGGAGGAAAUGGCACUAAAGCCAUUGAGAUCUGAGCCUGAGAUCAAGGACAGGCAAAACAGAGAUAACCAUUUCUCUUUUCAUCCCAAACAUGUGACUUUUCUUUCCCUCAAAACUCCCUCAUAUUCCUCUAGAAUUCCUCUGUGUGGUACAAUACUUAAGAUUGUGGGCAGGUAGGAAUCAUUAAGACAAAACUGCUUGGCUGAAAACACACACUUACCUCCACCAGCCCUGCCCACGUUUCUGUCUGCUUCAUCAUGAUGUGGACCAGGAUGAAAAGUACAGUGAAAAGGAACUUUAGAUGGUCUCUUCUGAGAGGAAAAAAAAA